Molecule: ribosomal RNA, 427 nt
Filed under: uncultured bacterium
Lineage: Bacteria
Description: bacterial SSU rRNA
Rfam family: Bacterial small subunit ribosomal RNA
Source: RNAcentral
GACGAACGCUGGCGGCGCGCCUAACACAUGCAAGUCACACGAGAAAGGGACUUCGGUCCUGAGUACAGUGGCGCACGGGUGAGUAACACGUGAAUCAUCUACCUUCGAGUGGGGAAUAACUGAGAGAAAUCUUAGCUAAUACCGCAUAAUACCUACGGGUCAAAGCAGCAAUGCGCUUGAAGAGGAGUUCGCGGCAGAUUAGUUAGUUGGCGGGGUAAUGGCCCACCAAGACGAUGAUCUGUAUCCGGCCUGAGAGGGCGCACGGACACACUGGAACUGAAACACGGUCCAGACUCCUACGGGAGGCAGCAGUGGGGAAUUUUGCGCAAUGGGGGAAACCCUGACGCAGCAACGCCGCGUGGAGGAUGAAAUCCCUUGGGAUGUAAACUCCUUUCGAUAGGGAAGAUAAUGACGGUACCUAUAGAAG